UUAUUUUUUUCGCUUAAUCUUAAACAAAAGAACGGGGGAACCAAUUUUGUGGAGAGGUUUCCACUAGGGGUGAAUUCAGUUUUGAAAGGGCUAAGUGUUUCCUGGUCCUAACCCGACAGCUAACCUCGUCAGCGUCUUUAUAGGGAACAG
RNAcentral lists this small RNA (150 nucleotides) under Bacillus sp. CECT 9360. RNAcentral describes it as "ydaO-yuaA". It matches the Rfam family "c-di-AMP riboswitch aptamer (ydaO/yuaA leader)". From Rfam's summary of the family: This family represents a conserved RNA structure found upstream of the ydaO and yuaA genes in Bacillus subtilis and related genes in other bacteria. The ydaO/yuaA element is thought to act as a genetic "off" switch for the ydaO and yuaA genes in its native state. Lineage: Bacteria; Bacillati; Bacillota; Bacilli; Caryophanales; Bacillaceae. The record is from RNAcentral.